CAGGACACUGAGUCAGGAUGAGUGGCACAGUGGGUAUCAAAGGGGCAGAGCAAGGUCCCCCUCCUCACUUCUCAGCUCACACGUGGAGCCCUGGUAAGGCCCAUGGGUAGGCGGUGCGGUUGACUACAGGGCUGGCCGAGCAUUCAGCAUUGGAAAGGCAGCCAAAAACAGCAGGAGGGUGGAAGAGUUUGGAAAGGGAGGCGCAUCUUUAGCUGGCUGUCUGCUUGCAAGGCAAAACCAAACUGUUUUAAAUUGACUGAAUCGCAGCAUUCUACAGAAAGUGAAUGAUCUUGGUAAGACACCAGACAGUAUUUCACAGGAUUUUGAGAUGACGAGAGCAAAAAGGAAGAAAAAUGGUGAAAAGAGCAAGAUGGUAUAAGAAGGAAAGACGACCUGUGAGAAACAAGAUGAUGUUAAUUGGGCUGUGGUAAUGUCUGACUGGAUAUCCUGCCUGGAGGUGAUUUGAAAAAGGCAAAUGCCGUGUGCUUUUUUUUUACUUAACGCUGGAAUGUCAGCCUUCCCAUAUAAAUUAUGGAGGUUGCUCUUGUCUCAGUGACAUAACUAUUUCUUUAACAUGUGUUCUAGGAUAAAUACCAACAGAGCUAUCAAGAACAAGGACUGUGUGACUUCACAACAAAGAAAAUAAUCUAUGAGCCUUAUCGCUUUGGCCCUGUAAAAGCCCAUUGGUAGCCAGCCAGGUUUAAAGAUGUCACCAUCAUGCUUGCUACUUCCACUUAGCUCUACAGAGCUCUGCCUGGCAUCUUUUCAAAACAAAUCUUGGAAAGCACACAGACAAAUGUUUUCUUUCUGGAACCCUCUGGGUCCUCCUGACUACACAGUGGCUGCCAACUGCUGCUAACAGGGUUCUUGCUUUUUUCUAAAUUUCCUUUUUAUUUUGCGCAUUUUAAGAAUAAUUUUCCUCUCCCAAAAGGACCUUCCUCUGUCCAUCUCAGCCCCAGCUGGCGGGAAGUGGCACAGGGAAGGGGAGGUGUUGGGACAGGGGUAGCAAAUGUAGUUCCCAUGGCUCAGGGUGAUUGUUGAAGGAUAGUGCCUAAGGUGCUGACAAUGCAUAAAACUCAAAGUCCUUGAGCUUAAGCAAGUUGAUAAGCAGUGAACAUGGCAAGACGAAAUAAGCAAGGAAGAGCAGUGACUGAAGAUGCAGAAGGCUGCUUUUUGUAAUGAGAGUGUCAUGAGGAAGGGAAGAAGUUUCAGCCUGGGAGAAGUCCUAUCCCUGCUGCCUGGAAGGUAGACAGCCAAAGGACCAUUUUCCCAUGGGGCAGCAGCCCUGAGAAGAGUCCAAUACGGGAGAACCUGUUGGGCAGUGGGUCCAUGGGCACCUCCAUGAACCUGAGGGGUGGUCAGCAACACUUUGGAUUUGUGGACCCAGGGCUGGGAGGAUGGAUGCAGUGACUGGGUGGUUGGGGCUGCCACAAAAGCCCCCUUGUUCUUCCCUCUGUGGGCUUUUGGUUGUGACCAGGCCUGGUAGUAGUCACCUUCCAAUCUGCUUGGGAAAUGCCAGGCGUACAGGAGAGCACUGGCUGAAGCCUGGAAAAGGAUCCUGGGGAGAAACAGGGAACACUAACAAAAUGGCAGGAGCUACCGUGUUUUGUAAGUUUUAAAUAAAGUUUUUUAAAUAAAGGAUCCAUUUUAAUCCUACUGGCCUCUUGCCUGCCUUCUUCAUUCAAAAUAAAACACACUCUCCAGAAAAUGGUUUUACAUAGCCCAGCCAAGUUUCUGGUAGAGCACAGACCCAGACAUCCAUAAUUCAUGAGCAAGGAAGGGUGUGGAUAUUUUGUGGGAACCGGACUCUCUGUGAACAAGAUCAUUUUCAUUUGCUGAUUAUGCUGUAUAAACAAUGUGCUUUUAGGAUUCAGAGGAAGAGAACUGUGCAUCUAGCAAAAUCAAACUGCUGAUUAGCAAGGAAACUAUGUUAACAUGAAGCCUUCAAGUUAACAAUUAAAGAUUAGAAGGAGGAGGAUUCAGUCCUUCAGAUUUUGCUUCACUAAGUUUUAAUUUCUAUUACAUCUCUGUUACCUUCUGAGGAACCCAAAUACUGUCCAGGCUGCAAAAUACUUGCACUUUUCAUUGUCAUUGGUUAG
Coturnix japonica (Japanese quail) is the source of this 2099-nucleotide non-coding RNA. Lineage: Eukaryota; Metazoa; Chordata; Aves; Galliformes; Phasianidae. The record is from RefSeq and is a predicted model, not a curated record.